UAUAAAGUAAACUAAACUAAUAAGUUAAUAGGUUCAUACCCUAUAUAUGAUAUAAUCCUUUAUAA
Molecule: transfer RNA, 65 nt
Filed under: Dermanyssus gallinae
Lineage: Eukaryota; Metazoa; Arthropoda; Arachnida; Mesostigmata; Dermanyssidae
Description: tRNA-Met
Source: RNAcentral